Molecule: long non-coding RNA, 480 nt
Organism: Ornithorhynchus anatinus (platypus)
Lineage: Eukaryota; Metazoa; Chordata; Mammalia; Monotremata; Ornithorhynchidae
Exons: 3
Source: RefSeq, a predicted model, not a curated record
ACACAGCAGACAAGUGGUGGAGCCAGGAUUAGAACUCCUGACCUUCUGACUUCCUGGUCUGUGCUGGAGCCACUACACCAUGAGAUCAACCUGCUGGAGGGGGAAGUGGGGAAGAUUAACAAGAUGGAGUCAACGUCGAGAGUCCCCAGGCUGAAAGGGUGGUGCUAUCAAUGCUGACCUCUCUUUUGGAGAAUGGGUUCUCUAAUUAAAGAUCGUGUGAUGCUUGGGAAAUAAUGAAGAUCCAUGAACUGUAAUAAGGAAUAGACACCAUAGCCACAGAGCUGUCCAGAAACAAUUAUUCUAAAUCAAAUCAGGGGUAAUGACAUCAAGGGAUGGAAGAUUUUGGCAAACCAACAGGCAUUUCAACACAUAGGAAACUUUCUGGAAGACCCUGGAGACUUUCUGGGGUGUUCUGAGUGAGGGCUGCUGCCUGAAUUUCAAGAUGGAAGCCCUGCUCUAGUCUCACCUCCCUGAGCUCAU